UCGUAACAAGGUCUCCGUUGGUGAACCAGCGGAGGGAUCAUUACCGAGUUAUACAACUCCCAAACCCACUGUGAACCUUACCUCAGUUGCCUCGGCGGGAACGCCCCGGCCGCCUGCCCCCGCGCCGGCGCCGGACCCAGGCGCCCGCCGCAGGGACCCCAAACUCUCUUGCAUUACGCCCAGCGGGCGGAAUUUCUUCUCUGAGUUGCACAAGCAAAAACAAAUGAAUCAAAACUUUCAACAACGGAUCUCUUGGUUCUGGCAUCGAUGAAGAACGCAGCGAAAUGCGAUAAGUAAUGUGAAUUGCAGAAUUCAGUGAAUCAUCGAAUCUUUGAACGCACAUUGCGCCCGCCAGCAUUCUGGCGGGCAUGCCUGUUCGAGCGUCAUUUCAACCCUCGAGCCCCCCCGGGGGCCUCGGUGUUGGGGGACGGCACACCAGCCGCCCCCGAAAUGCAGUGGCGACCCCGCCGCAGCCUCCCCUGCGUAGUAGCACACACCUCGCACCGGAGCGCGGAGGCGGUCACGCCGUAAAACGCCCAACUUUCUUAGAGUUGACCUCGGAUCAGGUAGGAAUACCCGCUGAACUUAAGCAUAUCAAUAAGCGGAGGAAAAGAAACCAACAGGGAUUGCCCCAGUAACGGCGAGUGAAGCGGCAACAGCUCA
Molecule: unclassified non-coding RNA, 663 nt
Filed under: Purpureocillium lilacinum
Lineage: Eukaryota; Fungi; Ascomycota; Sordariomycetes; Hypocreales; Ophiocordycipitaceae
Description: sequence contains 18S rRNA gene, ITS1, 5.8S rRNA gene, ITS2, 28S rRNA gene
Rfam family: 5.8S ribosomal RNA (bases 233-386)
Source: RNAcentral